Molecule: RNase P RNA, 374 nt
Filed under: Candidatus Nanopelagicales bacterium
Lineage: Bacteria; Bacillati; Actinomycetota; Actinomycetes; Candidatus Nanopelagicales
Also listed under: 1 other name
Description: RNase P RNA component class A
Rfam family: Bacterial RNase P class A
About the family: Ribonuclease P (RNase P) is a ubiquitous endoribonuclease, found in archaea, bacteria and eukarya as well as chloroplasts and mitochondria. Its best characterised activity is the generation of mature 5'-ends of tRNAs by cleaving the 5'-leader elements of precursor-tRNAs.
Source: RNAcentral
CGAGUCGGUCGGACGGCCGCGGUUGCGCAAGCAGUCGAGGAAAGUCCGGACUCCACAGGGCAGGACGGUGGGUAACACCCACCCGGGGUGACCCGCGGGAAAGUGCAACAGAAAGCAGACCGCCGGCUUUCGGGUCGGUAAGGGUGAAACGGUGGUGUAAGAGACCACCAGCGUCGGUGGCGACAUCGGCGGCUAGGUAAACCCCGUCCGGAGCAAGGCCAAGAGGGUGCGUUCGCGCACCUGUGCGGACGAGCUGCCCGCUCGAUGUCCGCAGGUGGGCCGCAACGAGGUCAUCGGUAACGGUGGCCCCAGACAGAUGGUCGUCGUCCCGGUUCGCUGGGGCACAGAAUCCGGCUUACAGACCGACUCGCCAC